AACGAACGCUGGCGGCAUGCCUAACACAUGCAAGUCGAACGAGACCUUCGGGUCUAGUGGCGCACGGGUGCGUAACGCGUGGGAACCUGCCUUUAGGUUCGGAAUAACUCAGAGAAAUUUGAGCUAAUACCGGAUGAUGUCUUCGGACCAAAGAUUUAUCGCCUUUGGAUGGGCACGCGUUGGAUUAGCUAGUUGGUGGGGUAAAGGCCUACCAAGGCGACGAUCCAUAGCUGGUCUGAGAGGAUGAGCAGCCACACUGGGACUGGGACACGGCCCAGACUCCUACGGGAGGCAGCAGUGGGGAAUAUUGGACAAUGGGCUAAAGCCUGAUCCAGCAAUGCCGCGUGAGUGAUGAAGGCCUUAGGGUUGUAAAGCUCUUUUACCCGAGAUGAUAAUGACAGUAUCGGGAGAAUAAGCUCCGGCUAACUCCGUG
RNAcentral lists this ribosomal RNA (433 nucleotides) under uncultured bacterium. RNAcentral's name for it is "partial 16S ribosomal RNA". It matches the Rfam family "Bacterial small subunit ribosomal RNA", at positions 29 to 507 of the family's 1533-position model. The record is from RNAcentral.